This is a long non-coding RNA of Salvia miltiorrhiza (redroot sage), 1592 nucleotides long. RefSeq lists it as uncharacterized. The transcript has 4 exons. NCBI's taxonomy places the organism in Eukaryota, Viridiplantae, Streptophyta, Magnoliopsida, Lamiales, Lamiaceae. The record is from RefSeq and is a predicted model, not a curated record.
AAUGAUUGAUACUCAUCGCAAUCUGUAUUUCAAUCUCUCCAAUUUUGGAGUUUCACUAGAAAUAUGUAUUAGAUCUAAUCCCAUGGCUACAUCUCACUAUUAAUUUGCUCUAAUUUAAAAAAAAAAAAAAAAAGAGAAAGAAAACACAAUAUCUUCGAGUUUCGACAGCACCUUGAUCUGAUUGCUUGCUCAAAAAAGCAUGAUUUUGCAUAAUAAUGGAUCAUGCACCAUCAUAAUUAUAUCCCUUGCUAGAUCCAACGUCGACAAAUAGUUGAUCAAUUAGGCAGCUCCAAAUGUAGUCGAUCACCCCCACCGGCGAUUCGCCCACUGGCCGCAGCCCCCUUCCACCUUCUCCGAUGCCACCUCCAUUUCCCUCUCUCCCCCACGGCGAUCUGACCUCUCGGCGAUUCGACAAUAUGGCCGCGAUGAGAUCUGCCCCUUUCACUCCGAUGGCACCUCCAGUUGCCUCCCCCGGCGAUCUGCCCCUUCCACCUUCUCCGACGCUUCCCUCUUCCGGCGGCGACGCCAGUCACCUCCACCAUCUCCCUCGACUGACACGCGCAGAAACAACAGUCCGCCGCUUUCAUUGGGGUCGGCGAAAUCGUUGGCUCCUCCUUCUCUUUCAUGCAAUACAUGGACAGAGCUUUGGCAUUUUAGUGGUGCCAAGAUCUAUACUGGAAAUGGAUUUAUUCUGCAUUUAUGAAGCACUCUUCAUAUAGCACAAAUUAGUGAAGAUAAAAUGGAUCAAUAAAUGCAAAUGGAGAAGCAAAAGUGAUCUGUUAAUUUACUUUCUCUCGAAGGGUUCGUAAAUUUUUCUAUAAGUUGUUCUCAAAUGGUACGACGGAAUCAGAACAGAGACAUGUCACCCUAUGAAUUAAUGCCUCAGGCUUUCAGCUGCUUCAGAUUUUGGUUUGUAUUUACUAAAGGAUUACGGUGCAACUCGGUGGUAUCUUGAGCUAUGCUGUUCCUUUUACUCUAAAGUAAGCCUACUUUCUCUUUUAAGGUCUCAAUGCAUUAUUUGUCAUAAAACAGUGUUGCUACAUUACGUUAUUUUUUUUUAUUUUUUUUGAUGAUUUAGUGGGAUUUUGUUUCUAUUUUUAUUGUAUUUCUUAUACUUUUGAUGUGUCAUAAUCGUUAGGAAAUUGACUACAAAUGCAAUUACUUUUAUAUUGAUAAUUAGCUGGAAUCGGCUGACUACUUAAUUGCAGCCUUCGUUGGCGAGAAAUUGUUUCCUCUCGCCUUCAAUUACUUGCAGAAGCUUCUUCAGCUACAACUCAACCUUCGUUGGGUCCCCGAUCGCGUCCGCAAAGCUUGCCAUCUCUUUGGUGUGUGCAUUGUCCUCUUGGUUGGUUGUUGUUUUUGCUAAUGACCUGUGGCUCGAGUUUUAUAUGUUGUUUGUGCUUUGGAAUUAGCUGCAAACUUUUGAUUUUUUGUUGUUUUUUUAGUUUUCCCGAUGUGACCAGUAGUUAGUUGCGUUUUUUAAUUCAUUUUAAUGUGUGUUGUGGUGUUACGCAAGGUUAUGGAAAUCUAACGCUAUCAGGAAUUUGAAUUUGCAAUUACUAUAAGAUAAUACACAUUUUCGCCUGUGGAAA